GGAAGGAUGGCCGAGUGGCUUAAGGCGCACGCUUGGAAAGCGUGUUAUGGGUAAUACUAUACGAGAGUUCGAAUCUCUCUCCUUCCGCCA
This 90-nucleotide transfer RNA is filed under the name Rickettsiales bacterium. Its description in RNAcentral is "tRNA-Ser". It matches the Rfam family "tRNA". From Rfam's summary of the family: Transfer RNA (tRNA) molecules are approximately 80 nucleotides in length. Their secondary structure includes four short double-helical elements and three loops (D, anti-codon, and T loops). The record is from RNAcentral. Lineage: Bacteria; Pseudomonadati; Pseudomonadota; Alphaproteobacteria; Rickettsiales.